RNAcentral lists this ribosomal RNA (555 nucleotides) under uncultured haloarchaeon. Its description in RNAcentral is "bacterial SSU rRNA". It matches the Rfam family "Archaeal small subunit ribosomal RNA", at positions 332 to 886 of the family's 1478-position model. Lineage: Archaea; Methanobacteriati; Methanobacteriota; Halobacteria; Halobacteriales; Halobacteriaceae. The record is from RNAcentral.
GCAGCAGGCGCGAAACCUUUACACUGCACGCCAGUGCGAUAAGGGGACUCCAAGUGCGAGGGCAUAUCGUCCUCGCUUUUGUGUACCGUAAGGUGGUACACGAAUAAGGGCUGGGCAAGACCGGUGCCAGCCGCCGCGGUAAUACCGGCAGCCCAAGUGAUGACCGCUCUUAUCGGGCCUAAAGCGUCCGUAGCUGGCCGUUCAAGUCCAUCGGGAAAUCCGCGCGCCCAACGCGCGGGCGUCCGGUGGAAACUGUUCGGCUUGGGACCGGAAGACCUGAGGGGUACGUCUGGGGUAGGAGUGAAAUCCCGUAAUCCUGGACGGACCACCGGUGGCGAAAGCGCCUCAGGAGGACGGAUCCGACGGUGAGGGACGAAAGCUCGGGUCACGAACCGGAUUAGAUACCCGGGUAGUCCGAGCUGUAAACGAUGUUUGCUAGGUGUGACACAGGCUACGAGCCUGUGUUGUGCCGUAGGGAAGCCGUGAAGCAGACCGCCUGGGAAGUACGUCCGCAAGGAUGAAACUUAAAGGAAUUGGCGGGGGAGCACUACAACC